CCUACGGGAGGCAGCAGUGAGGAAUAUUGGUCAAUGGACGAGAGUCUGAACCAGCCAAGCAGCGUGAAGGAUGACUGCCCUAUGGGUUGUAAACUUCUUUUAUAUGGGAAUAAAAUGUUCCACGUGUGGGAUUUUGUAUGUACCAUAUGCAUAAGGAUCGGCUAACUCCUGGCCAGCAGCCGCGGUAAUACGGAGGAUGCGAGCGUUAUCCGGAUUUAUUGGGUUUAAAGGGAGCGUAGGUGGAUUGUUAAGUCAGUUGUGAAAUUUUGCGGCUCAACCGUGAAAUUGCAGUUGAAACUGGCAGUCUUGAGUACAGUAGAGGUGGGCGGAAUUCGUGGUGUAGCGGUGAAAUGCUUAGAUAUCACGAAGAACUCCGAUUGCGAAGGCAGCUCACUGGACUGCAACUGACACUGAGGCGCGAAAGUGUGGGUAUCAAACAGGAUUAGAUACCCUUGUAGUC
RNAcentral lists this ribosomal RNA (460 nucleotides) under uncultured bacterium. RNAcentral describes it as "partial 16S ribosomal RNA". It matches the Rfam family "Bacterial small subunit ribosomal RNA", at positions 338 to 795 of the family's 1533-position model. The record is from RNAcentral.